UUUUAAAUAUCGUUGUGCUUGGUUAACAUACGGAUAAGAAGAUUCUUAAAUUUGAAUUUCAAAUUUGUCUUGAAUUCUAUGAAAUUUUCACUCGCCACCAUUUUUUUUUCCUCCUACGAGGAUAAGAUAAGUUGUAUAGAGGAGAAAACUUUGCUAUUUUGCUCUUUCUCCAACUCUGUCCCCCCUCUCCAGGUGAAGAAACUGAUCUCUAUCAAUCAACAUAAGACUGCAUUGCAAAGACGUCAUAGGUUGCACUUUACGAAAGACUUGUGUGAAACAAAGGCAUUUUACUUCUUGAAGGGAGAUAUUAUCUUGCAAAUGCUGAUUUUCCUCUUCUUAAGCAUUUCAUUAUUCCAUAUCGUGGGUUACAAUAUCAUCUAAAUGAUAUUAGAGAUCGAGUACCUAAUUCACCAAAAGAGUUAUUCAAUCAAAGGCACUCAUCGUUACGGAAUGUCAUUGAACAGACACUUGGUGUUCUAAAGAAGCGUUUUGGCAUAUUAUGCGCAACACAACAUACUCAUAUGAGAGGUAGAUUGACAUUGUUUUAGCUUGUUGUAUGGUGCAUAAUCACAUUAGGAGAGUGAUGCCAGAUGAUAAUCUAUUGGAUGAAGUGGAUGCUGAUUUGAGUAGGGAAACUGUUAAAGAUGAUGAUCCUGUUGACACCCCAUCUAACAGAGCAGAAGAGGGUCGUGAGGGAAAAAUGAUAAGAAAUGAAGUUACAUACCUCUUGUGGAAUGACUACCAACUUCAACAUUGUCGUUGAUAGAUCUUUAUGAUGUGAGAGGGUUUACAUUACAUUGUUGCGCCGGAA
This is a long non-coding RNA of Macadamia integrifolia, 811 nucleotides long. RefSeq lists it as uncharacterized. NCBI's taxonomy places the organism in Eukaryota, Viridiplantae, Streptophyta, Magnoliopsida, Proteales, Proteaceae. The transcript has 3 exons. The record is from RefSeq and is a predicted model, not a curated record.